Molecule: long non-coding RNA, 387 nt
Filed under: Setaria viridis
Lineage: Eukaryota; Viridiplantae; Streptophyta; Magnoliopsida; Poales; Poaceae
Description: long non-coding RNA (SVIR_LNC002531)
Source: RNAcentral
AAACAACUAACUCAACCAAAGAAGAGAUCAAUAAGAAGAGAUUAGAUGCUCGGGGAUUUAUAGUAUGAGGAAACAUGUCAUGGAUGGAACAUUGUUCUGUACUUGUAGUAGCUAAAACCCUCCAGAGUAGGUAACAUUACUAGUUAUGAACUCAUACAUCUACACAUGGCUAAUUUUCAUAGUAGAACAUCAAAGUACAAAAUAGAGCAUGUAGCCAUUUAGCAACAGAAAACAAACAUUUACAAUGCAAAUGCACACAACAGCAAAGCAGCAGCAGCUUCACAGGCAUGUGCCUUUUGUUGAAAGCAGCCAUCAAGGUUCAUAAGCACAGGCAAAGCAGCGCUAAACCAUCUUGAGGAAGCAGUACAUGUAGAGGUGUUGUUGAAC